Non-coding RNA from Ramularia collo-cygni, 71 nucleotides. The record is from the annotation of a RefSeq genome assembly. Lineage: Eukaryota; Fungi; Ascomycota; Dothideomycetes; Mycosphaerellales; Mycosphaerellaceae.
GGGGCUCUGGUGUAGUGGUAACAUACCAGGCGGGUGGUCUGCGGUGCUGGGUUCAAUUCCUAGGGGCUCCA